Molecule: long non-coding RNA, 1924 nt
Organism: Leopardus geoffroyi (Geoffroy's cat)
Lineage: Eukaryota; Metazoa; Chordata; Mammalia; Carnivora; Felidae
Exons: 9
Source: RefSeq, a predicted model, not a curated record
GAGCGAAGUUGGGCGCUUAACCGACUGAGCCACCCAGGUGCCCCUCCCGGUCCCAUGAUUCUUAGGAGAGAAUGCCAUUGUCUGUUUCAUUUUUUAAAGUCGCAGUGCGUGGGCAGGGUCACUGGCAGGUGUGCGGGUGAGGCAUAGUGCAGAAAACAAAUCUCACUUAAAACAUCACCUGGAGACAUGCUGUGAUCCUUGCAAUCCCAACAAUUGGAUAUUUCCCUAGCUACUUCCCCUGUAGAAAGAAGGACUUAUAUCACAAUAGUGCUUUUGUCAUAAUUUUUUAUAUAACGAGCAGAAUAAGCUCUGAGUGGAGGUUGUUCAUUCUUAACAUUUCUGGAUUCCUUUUCCAGAACUCAUGUAAUACUUUUAUGUUGUCACCAAAUAUUUAUUGCUUACAAUCCAGACCUUAUUUCCUGCCUGACUUAGGUGCAGUAGGACGUAGAAGCCACCAGGUGUCAGUGUUGCAGGUAACAUUUCAAAUUCCCCAGGUUGCAUCUGAUCCUGCCGGUGCAAAUAUUUUAGUAACAGGGGACAUGCUCCGAGGAAUCCCAUAGACUGUCCCUCCUGCCAGGAAGCCGCAGUGAACGGGACUAAGAAAUUCAAGUGAGUUGUCCAGAGAAAAAGAGCUGUUAAAAGGUGGAACCUGGCCUGAGGACUCCAAACCGUCUCCUGCCUACCCCCAGGAAGGACACCCUCUGCAGCCAUAUUGGCCAAAUGUUGUUUCCUUGAUGAGGAAACAGAAGCAGAGACAGCAAGAAGGUGGCUGAGUUGGGAUUUGAGACCAGACCAAGUGUCAGGGUCUGUGGCGUGGACGACAACACCAUGCUGUCACUGACCAGUUGAACCCCCACUAUGUAACCAGCGGCAUAGCUCCCUCAUCCCACAACACUUGACCGGAUACGGCUGAGCGGCUCCUGUCCCUGUGUCCAUGUGCAUGUGGGUCCUCCUGGAGCUGCUGCAUAUGAGGAUACCUCAAAAUGCAUCAAGCAAUACUGGAAUAGAAAGUGACUGGGAAACUGCUUGCAGAACCAAAGACAUCAAAAUGUAGCUAUCAUAACUCAGGUUAGCUCUUACACUGACCCUGGUUACUGGCAGCAAUGGAGGCCUGUUCUUUAUAUGUAUCAACUCGUUGGAUUCUCACAACUUCCUCCUGAGCUCAACACUCCUACAAAUAUUUAACCACCAGCAAGGUGGUUAGAAAAUCAGGACUUUGAUUCUCUGGCACAGAGUUGGAAUUAUUAAAAUGGCAGCAUUUCAGAAGGCAGCAACACCGACAAUAUGACUAUUUUAUAAUGAAGCCAUCAGCAGUAUGGGAGUUCACGGCCUUACACUAGUGUGGACAAAGUCAAUAUGACCAUUGGGUUACUGAGCAUGUCAGAAGUGCACUUCAUCCACACUCUUCCCACAAAAAUGAUCCAGAAUUGUUUGUGAACCACACAAUACAUAUAUAUUAUGGAGAAAGUAGGAAGUGCUGUUAAAUGAAAAGAAGAAAAGGAAGCUCUUCUUCUGUGAUUAUACCUUCUAGAGAGUACCACUGUUAAUAUUUGGGCAUCUAUUCCCCCAGAACUUGAAGAUGAUGAUGGAUGAGAGCUUCAUGGGAUGGGGACUGUUCUAAGCCCUGUCCUGUGGUUUUCCUGUGCCUACAACAGAGCUAGCACAAGAAAAAGAAAGGAAGAAAGAGAUUGCGGGCAUUGAUAGAACUCAACAGCCACUAAGGAUUGGAUGACUGCCCAGAAGACCAGAAAAAUCUCUAUUUUGACCGGUAAAAUCUCUAUUUUGACCGGUCGUGCCUUCAAUCAAUAAAUAUGUAUCAGGUAUUUACUAUGCACUGGAUACAAAGGCAAGCUGUUUUUCUCAGGAAGUGCACUCAUUGCAAAAUUAAUUUCUUUAGGAAAGCAUUUGGGUGACUGGGCGCUUC